Molecule: long non-coding RNA, 2166 nt
Organism: Anneissia japonica
Lineage: Eukaryota; Metazoa; Echinodermata; Crinoidea; Comatulida; Comatulidae
Exons: 2
Source: RefSeq, a predicted model, not a curated record
UAAUUCUCUGGGCUCGCCGUAUAAAUAAGGCUACUACGCUUUGAACAUUAAGUCACUCAACCAAUAGUAUUGACGUUGGAAACUCACUAAGAUAGAAGCGAAAAACGAAGGCAUUUGGACGGUUAUUGUUUAACGUAGCAAAAUACAAAAGAGAGAAUGGUUAGAGCAGAGUUCACACUUCUGGUUGUGGUAGGUGUUGGGCUACUAAGCAAUAAUGUGUUUUCAUCACCUUUACCUAAAGUACACAGCAGAAAACAAUUUGACAUCAUCUCCGAGCUAAAGCACAACAUAGAAAUGGCCAUAGUAGCGACUCUUCACCAAGCCAGAGACGCAAAAGGUACCAGCGGAGCCACAGAAGUAAACUCGUUUAAUGACCAGAUCGUCGGACCAAAACAGAUCCGUGACCCAGGCCUGGACGACUAUGGAAUGGGCAUGAUGUUUGGAAAGCGAUCCCCAGACAAUGCAUGGAAUGACCUUUUAGAAGAGGAUACUUUAUGAAGAACAUUUUUCAAACAGUGAUACUUCCUGAAAAAAAAUAAGAAAAAUGAUGGCACUGUCCAAUCAACCAAAAAAUACAGCCAUGAAUUGAGAAUUCAUAAAUCAAGAAAUCUAUUAUUUACGAAGGACAUUUUGAACUGCCGCUCCAAAUAUCCAUCAAGACUUAUGACGUAAUACACCUGUAUGUGACAUCAUAUAAUAAGAUGCACCAUGUUCUCUGCAUCAAAUCACGUGGCCCUUUAUCAACACGUGCCUUCCGUAAACUUUCGAUCGUUUCUACACGAUGUUAAAUAAUUUCUAUUGUACAUUUAUGAUUAGUAUAAAAUAAAUGUUAGGACUAUUGUUUUAGAUUCGCUUGAGUGAGUCAGCUGAACGUCUUAAUCGUAUCGUUUUAAAAAUAUUAAAAUCACUGAAAGUUUGUGGAAAGUUUAUUAAAACCCGGUGUGUUCAUUACAAGGAAAGCCAAACACGUACCAUGACGUUGGAGAAUAUUAAGUCAAAAUAUUAUUCCGGAGAUUUUAAAUUAAUGUUGUAGACUUUGAAUGGAAAACAGGAUUUAAUGGUGAUAAUAAUAAUUUGAUAGGCAUGUGUAUAGCACGUUUGGUACGGUAUUGUCGAUACACUGAUGAUUUUGUCAGUGAAGAUGAUAAUGACGAUGUCGGUGGUUGGUGGUGACUGAGAUGAUGAUGAUGCUGCUGAUGUGAUGAUGAUGUUGGUGAUUAUUAUGAUGAUGACAAUUAUGUCGGAACGUGAUCAUCAAAGAAAUUUAUCCCCGGUAAAUAAAAUUCUUAAUUGAACCCUGGACGUAUUAUGUUUUAAUGCUUUUUUUGUUUUCUAGAUUGUAUUUAUCAUAACACAAAUUAUCUCGCGUUUGCUUUUAUGUAGCAAAGUCAGUAAUUUUUAUUUGAUAGCAUUCUGGUAGUGUUCUCUCAUCGCCCUGAUGUGUUUUAAACUCUCAUGAGGUUUCCAAAUAAUACCACCAAAAAUAAUGCUAAAGCUUACAUGACUAGUUUUUCCUCUUGUAUAAUUUAUUUCUUAAAAUGUACAUUCGAAUUUUAUUUCUUGAAUUCCAUUUGAAAAUUCAUUAAAAAAACGAGUUAAACACCGCAUUUUCAGAUAUAGUUUCCCAAACUGCAUAGAAUUAAACAUCAGCAAGUUAAUACAUUUAUAUUUUAACUAUACACAUCAUGCGUUGCCCACCCCGAUACGUAGGUAUACAAUCAUGUAUGUAUAUGUUUGACUUAUAAAUAACUAUGAAACUCUCACCUAUCAUUUAAAUAAUGUACAUAAAUCAUUUUGUAUAAAAAAUUCUUUAAAUAACAUAGGCCUAAUAGUCAUCUGUCACCACAAGAAUACAAAAUUUUCAUUAAUUCAAUUUUAAAACAAUUAGAACCGUAGAUUUUCCAAUGCAAGAGCAUAAUAUAUGAGGUUUCUUUUACAAACAUUAAAUAUGAAACCUAAUCAUAAUAAUACCAAAGUUAUUACGCACUCAUAUCUUGGUUGAAUCAACACAAAGUGAAGUGCGUCUUUUCUACUAACAUUUAUUAAUAAUUCUUAAUUAAAAUAGGCCUGUAGUGACACGAUGUUAAAACAAGUUCACAAUAUUGGAUACUUAUGUUUACAUUUGGAUGAAUGCUUAACAUCGAAGCAUCGUGUGCAAAAAAAAUC